RNAcentral lists this transfer RNA (76 nucleotides) under Clostridia bacterium. RNAcentral's name for it is "tRNA-Trp". It matches the Rfam family "tRNA". From Rfam's summary of the family: Transfer RNA (tRNA) molecules are approximately 80 nucleotides in length. RNAcentral also lists the same sequence under 1 other name. The record is from RNAcentral. Lineage: Bacteria; Bacillati; Bacillota; Clostridia.
AGGGGAAUAGCUCAGUUGGUAGAGCAGCGGUCUCCAAAACCGCGUGUCGUGGGUUCGAGACCUUCUUCCCCUGCCA